AUUGAACGCUGGCGGCAGGCCUAACACAUGCAAGUCGAACGGUAACAGGAAGCAGCUUGCUGCUUUGCUGACGAGUGGCGGACGGGUGAGUAAUGUCUGGGAAACUGCCUGAUGGAGGGGGAUAACUACUGGAAACGGUAGCUAAUACCGCAUAACGUCGCAAGACCAAAGAGGGGGACCUUCGGGCCUCUUGCCAUCGGAUGUGCCCAGAUGGGAUUAGCUAGUAGGUGGGGUAACGGCUCACCUAGGCGACGAUCCCUAGCUGGUCUGAGAGGAUGACUAGCCACACUGGAACUGAGACACGGUCCAGACUCCUACGGGAGGCAGCAGUGGGGAAUAUUGCACAAUGGGCGCAAGCCUGAUGCAGCCAUGCCGCGUGUAUGAAGAAGGCCUUCGGGUUGUAAAGUACUUUCAGCGGGGAGGAAGGGAGUAAAGUUAAUACCUUUGCUCAUUGACGUUACCCGCAGAAGAAGCACCGGCUAACUCCGUG
Molecule: ribosomal RNA, 490 nt
Filed under: uncultured bacterium
Lineage: Bacteria
Description: partial 16S ribosomal RNA
Rfam family: Bacterial small subunit ribosomal RNA
Source: RNAcentral